This 577-nucleotide ribosomal RNA is filed under the name Yarrowia lipolytica. RNAcentral's name for it is "LSU rRNA". It matches the Rfam family "Eukaryotic large subunit ribosomal RNA", at positions 1 to 529 of the family's 3401-position model. Lineage: Eukaryota; Fungi; Ascomycota; Dipodascomycetes; Dipodascales. The record is from RNAcentral.
AAUAUUACGUCAUUCACCUCCUUCAUCCGAGAUUACCCGCUGAACUUAAGCAUAUCAAUAAGCGGAGGAAAAGAAACCAACAGGGAUUGCUCAGUAACGGCGAGUGAAGCGGCAAAAGCUCAAAUUUGAAACCCUCGGGAUUGUAAUUUGAAGAUUUGGCAUUGGAGAAAGCUAACCCAAGUUGCUUGGAAUAGUACGUCAUAGAGGGUGACAACCCCGUCUGGCUAACCGUUCUCCAUGUAUUGCCUUAUCAAAGAGUCGAGUUGUUUGGGAAUGCAGCUCAAAGUGGGUGGUAAACUCCAUCUAAAGCUAAAUACUGGUGAGAGACCGAUAGCGAACAAGUACUGUGAAGGAAAGGUGAAAAGAACUUUGAAAAGAGAGUGAAAUAGUAUGUGAAAUUGUUGAUAGGGAAGGAAAUGAGUGGAGAGUGGCCGAGGUUUCAGCCGCCCCUCGUGGGCGGUGUACUGCCGACGCCGAGUCAUCGAUAGCGAGACGAGGGUUACAAAUGGGAGCGCCUUCGGGCGUUCUCCCCUAACCCUCCACACUGCCACCGACGACAUAAUCCACCCAUUACUGG